This 252-nucleotide ribosomal RNA is filed under the name uncultured bacterium. RNAcentral's name for it is "partial 16S ribosomal RNA". It matches the Rfam family "Bacterial small subunit ribosomal RNA", at positions 524 to 776 of the family's 1533-position model. The record is from RNAcentral.
UACGUAGGGAGCGAGCGUUGUCCGGAAUUACUGGAUGUAAAGGGAGCGCAGGUGGUUUAUUAAGUCUGGUGUAAAAGGCAGUGGCUCAACCAUUGUAUGCAUUGGAAACUGGUAGACUUGAGUGCAGGAGAGGAGAGUGGAAUUCCAUGUGUAGCGGUGAAAUGCGUGGAUAUAUGGAGGAACACCGGUGGCGAAAGCGGCCCUCUGGCCUGUAACUGACACUGAGGCUCGAAAGCGUGGGGAGCGAACAGG